AUGGAUAGAUGGUCGGUCGGUUGUAGUGUCAUGCGAUUUUUAUAGAAUAAUAAAUGCGUUAGAUUUUUACAGAUUCAUUUAAACAGAUUUUUACACAUUUUUACAGAGUAUUAAAGGGUAUUAAAUAGUCAGAGUAAUCCGAAUAUUAAACCUGAUAUUAACGUCGAAUCUUUACCUUGUUUUCACAGGAUUUUCACGAGAUUUGCACCGUUUUUAAGGAGAUGGGUCAGGAUUACUAACAUCUGGUUACGAUGGCACCUGCAGAACCCUAUUUGAUGGGUCUCAUGUAGUCAUGAUCAGUAUCCAUUUUCAGAUGGGAAUCCUGCAGAACAUCGAUCAGAUUGUUACGACGGCAAAUAACAAAAGAGUAAUAGAGUAAACGAUGAAGAAUAAGAUGUAGAGGCCGACUAAAAAUUUAUACCAUUGUUAUCGGAAGAAAAAGAUGUAGAUGGUGACUAAAAAUUUAAACCAAAUUAAUCGACAGUCUAACCUUGGUAAACCUACAAAAGUUAAACCACGCUCAGAUUUUUCCACCUUCUUACAUCCUCCGAAAAAGCUGCAAAAGGAGACAAGAAUGAUUUCGAUUCGACGUGCGCAGACUUGCUCUCGAUAGAUGAUUGACGUAUGCAGAGUGCGACAGUGAAAAGACUAGACCUGAAAAUAUUAUUCUAAUACAAUAAAUUUAAUUUAUAAAAGCCCGUUGUCAAAUUUACCAAUACUUUCACAUAACGUAUUUCAGACAUUGUCUUAAACUAAAUGUAACAAAUUUAUUACUAUAGAUUUGACCGUUGAUUAAUUAUGCACCCAAAUUUUUUACCAUAAUAAGAUUUUAAAAAGUCGGUGGAAUUCUAGAAAUUCGAAAUACCGAAAUCGAAUUACUGAAACGAUUUCAGGAUAAUUUUUCGAUAAUCCAAAUCUAUAUAAUUAAUGUGAAAUUAUAAAGUGAUGGGUAUUAAUGGAAGAAUAAUAUAACCGAAUAGUAUAAACCGAAUAGUAUCUACUUUCGGAUAUACUAACCGAAUUAGAUAUAUCCGAAUAAUUAUCCGGUUAUAUCCAGAUAAAAUAUUUCGGAUAUAUAUUGGGUUCUAAUUUAUUUGGAUAAAUCCCUACCGAUUUUAUUAUGGUCAAUCUUUCCCGAUCUACUCCAAAAUCCCUACCACCCGGUCUACGCAGGCGACAGGAUAACCAGACCGGCCCGCCGCGUUCUGGAUUUACCUAAAUAGUCAAAGAAGUCAUCCCUCGAUAAUCUGUAAAUUGAUAAUCAAUAGGUAUUUUUAAUCAUUAAAUAAAAUAAAGUAAUCGGAUUGCAGGCAGCCUGUAUAAUUUUCCAAAACAAUCUACAUGUAAUGAAUAUCCGUCAAAAGUUCUUGGAGAACAUCAUUAAACGAAAGAAACGGAGGAAUAAAACCUAGAAUCUCGUAGACGAAAUCUACCAUACAGCUGUGUGUUAAAAUAAACUGUUGCCUAACACCUAACGAAAAACUCGAGAACAUAAACCCAAAAUAAUCCCUUACCUCCGCUUUUAUAUUCUCCAAAGAAAAUAAGGUAUGUCUCCGGUGAUGUUGUUCUUCCACUUCGCCCAUGACGGAAUCAUUUGGAAUGGGUAAUCGGCAACAUGAUUUACAAAUCAUACAGGUUUUGAGAUAUACGAGAUUGCCUGGUGGAGUUGAUAUAUGAGACUGCCUGGUGGAGUUGAUAUACGAGACUGCUUGGUGGAGUUGAUAUACGAGACUUCAUGGUACAAGACCAACGAAGAAUUUCGAAAUUAGGGAUGAAUUGAAAAUAGGGUUAUGCAGUCUGUAUAUGAUUUUGGUUAAAAUUCAUUUCCUCAUAAAUGGGUUAUAAUUGAUUGACCGAUUAAUGCAUCUCACCCGAUUAUUUAUGUUUGAGGGUUUAUUUGUCAUUACCUAUUUGCCUCCCAAUGUCGAUACUACGAGGUAUUAAAAUCUGCAAGAACCCCUUCCAUUAUUAAUUUGCGAUAACCCAUUUCGAUUGUAAAAAGAACCCAUUCCGAUUGUGAUCAACCGAUGGAGUUGAAGAACAUUGCUGUCAAGAAGAGGUCCUGAGAAAUUUCUCGAGACGACGAUGUUUGGGAUUCGAGAUCCUCUGCUAACAUCAGUUCCGAAAUAAAUCUUAGUCCACAACAAGAACAGCUAAUUGCAGCGAUCGCAAGUAGCAGGUCGGUUUUCAUUACAGGUUCUGCGGUACCGGUAAGAGUUUCCUUUUAAAGCACGUUGUCUCCACACUACGACGCAUUCAUCCUCCGAAAUCUGUUUUUUUGACAGCUUCCACCGGCGUAGCGGCAUACGCACUAGGUGGACAUACUCUCUACUCCUUCGCAGGCGUCGGGUUAGGGAAAGGGACCAAAACAGAGCUUGUCUCCUUUACUCUUAAAAAGCAAUAAAGCCGUCGAACGGUGGAAGAGAGCUAAGGCGCUUGUUAUUGACGAGAUCAGCAUGAUCGAUGGAGAGCUCUUUGAUAAUCUGGAGUUCUCGUCAAGCACGAUUAGAAAUUCACAUUGUAAAGGCGAUAAACAGUUACUUUGGGGAGGCAUUCAACUGAUUGUGAGUGGUGAUUUCUUCCAAAUCCCUCCCAUCAAUGCUCACAAUCCUCGAAAUGAGUUUGCUUUUGAGUCAUCUUACUGGAAAGCUACAUUUGACAUUCAGAUGGAAUUAACUCAUAUCUACCGCCAGUCGGACUUCGAGCUCAUCGAUUUCCUUGAAGGUAUCUGUCGGGGCCAAGUCGAUCGUGAUAACAGAAACUUCCGAAGAUUCCUCCAUGGCACCGCAUCCGUUAACAGCGCUAUUGACGAUAAUCUAACCGAAACCCGACUGUUUCCAAGAACCGAUGAUGUGCGGAGAGUGAACCAGGAGCAUCUGAGAAGUUUAGGAAAAGAGGUAGAGAGGUUCAAUGUUGUCGAUAAAGGUUCAAUGCCAUGGUUAAAACAAUUGAAAUAUCAGAUAACACCUGAUGAACUGGAAAUCUGCAAGGGCGCCAGGGUAAUGUUGAUCAAGAACACAGAUCAAGCAAUCAGACUCGUCAACGGCGCAACCAGAGUAGUAACAAGAUUCAAAGCAGGUUCGUCAAUAUCAUCUGAAAACAAUGUAAACGGUGUAGUGCCCAUAGUUAGAUUCGAUUCAAGAUCGGAAGUUCCAUUGGAUGUUGAAAAAUGGGACAUUAUCACAUUAUCGAAGGCAAUGGAGUUAAGGCUUUUCGCCGGCAAGCUCCACUCAUAUUAGCUUGGGCACUUAGUGUUCACAAGUGUCAAGGGAUGACUCUUGAUCGUCUUAAUACCGACCUGACACGGACAUUUGGAUCUGGAAUGGUUUACGUUUCACUUUCUCGAGUUACCACAAUCCAAGGUCUUCGUGUUGCUGGAUUUAUAAAGUCUUGAAAAAAUCAAAGCGAACCCUAAAGUUUUAAAUUUUUACACAAAGUUUAUUUCCACAUCCUCUAACUCUGAUAAGUCUUAGAAAAUUUCCUCUUGUACUUCGUUUAUUACAUGUUUUAUUUAAAAAAAUUCUUAGGGCCAGAGGCCCAUCUUUUUUGGAUCAUAUGUUCUUAAACAACUAAAUUUUUUUUUCUUUAAAACAAAUUGUUUUUAAGCAAACUAGUUCUUAAUUCCAAAAAAGUCAUCAACAUUAUCUCAUUCUGAUCUUUAUUCUUCAUUCCACCAUUAUCUUCAUUCCACCAUUAUCUCACGAUCAAUAAUCUGAGAACGAUUGAUUGAAAUAAAGUCAUCAAUGAUCACCAUCAAUAAUCUGUGAACGAUUAAAGGUGAUUAAAAGGAUCAAUAACUUUUUAAAGGAUGUUGGUAAUCCCAAUCGUCAAUUAACACGAUUAAUCUAACGAUAAUGGAGAAGGUGGAAUAGAAAUGGAGACCAGUUAAUUAUAUUGGUCAAGCUAGAGUCUUGAGUAUCUUACGAUCCUUAUCGCCGAAAGGAAAUGGGUUCCGUCGAAAAUAAACUUGAUGGAGAUUAAAAGACAACGGAGAAUGAAGAAAUCGAAGAUACCCAAUAGCUGCCGAAACCCAAGACGAAGAAACCCAGUAGCUGCCGGAACCUAGGACGAAGAUCGAAACAACCAGUUAAUUAUAUUGGUCAACCUAGAAUCUUGAUUAUCUUACGACCUUAUUAUCGAAAGGAAAUGGGUUCCAUCGAAAAUAAACUGAAUGGAGAUAAAAAGAAAACGGAGGAUGAAGAAAUCGAAGAUACCCAAUAGCUGCCCAAUAUAAUUAAAAUUAGAACAAAGGAACCCAAUAGUUGCUGGAACCCAGAACAAAAACAUCGGAGGAAUAAAGAAAAAGAAGAAUGAACCUAAUAACUAUUGGAAUGAACCCAGAACGAAGACAAUCAAGGAAUAAGACGAAGACGAUAAAAAUAGAUGAUAGACAAUAAAUGAUAGAAUGUUCAUAGAAUGAAUAGAUGAUAGAAUUUUGAUCAUGAAAAAUAGAAUAAACCCACAAAUAAUAAACCCAGAACGAAGACAAUAGAUGAUAGAAUGUUGAUCAUGAAGAACAAACCCAAAAACUGGAGAAUGGUAAACCGAGAAUGAAAACAACCAGAGAAAUAAAAAUAAGAAGAAACCGAAAAGAAGAAGAAACCCAAAAGAAGAUGAAACCCAAAAGAAGAAGGAAUCGAGAACGACAACGGAGGAUGAAGAAGAAACCAGCUUAUAACAGACACCGACAAGACAUGAUAAAAAAG
RNAcentral lists this long non-coding RNA (4706 nucleotides) under Zostera marina. RNAcentral describes it as "long non-coding RNA (ZMAR_LNC003102)". Lineage: Eukaryota; Viridiplantae; Streptophyta; Magnoliopsida; Alismatales; Zosteraceae. The record is from RNAcentral.